GGGUCAGUAGGUUGGUCGUGCCACCGGUACGUACUGGUCUCACUGAUUCCUCCUUCCUGAAGAACCGUAAUGCCAUUAAUUUGGUGUUGCGGGGAGACAGGACUGUUACUUUGAAAAAAUUAGAGUGUUUAAAGUAAGCUAACGCUUGAAUACAUUAGCAUGGAAUAAUGAAAUAGGACGAUCGAUCCUAUUUUGUUGGUUUCUAGGAUUGACGUA
RNAcentral lists this ribosomal RNA (216 nucleotides) under Glomeromycotina sp. Its description in RNAcentral is "partial small subunit ribosomal RNA". The stretch from base 40 to 216 matches the Rfam family "Eukaryotic small subunit ribosomal RNA", at positions 686 to 864 of the family's 1831-position model. Lineage: Eukaryota; Fungi; Glomeromycota. The record is from RNAcentral.